ACUCCUACGGGAGGCAGCAGUGGGGAAUAUUGGACAAUGGGCGAAAGCCUGAUCCAGCCAUGCCGCGUGUGUGAAGAAGGUCUUCGGAUUGUAAAGCACUUUAAGUUGGGAGGAAGGGCAGUAAGCUAAUACCUUGCUGUUUUGACGUUACCGACAGAAUAGGCACCGGCUAACUCUGUGCCAGCAGCCGCGGUAAUA
RNAcentral lists this ribosomal RNA (198 nucleotides) under uncultured Pseudomonas sp. Its description in RNAcentral is "partial 16S ribosomal RNA". It matches the Rfam family "Bacterial small subunit ribosomal RNA", at positions 335 to 525 of the family's 1533-position model. Lineage: Bacteria; Pseudomonadati; Pseudomonadota; Gammaproteobacteria; Pseudomonadales; Pseudomonadaceae. The record is from RNAcentral.